Pogona vitticeps (central bearded dragon) is the source of this 339-nucleotide long non-coding RNA. RefSeq lists it as uncharacterized. Lineage: Eukaryota; Metazoa; Chordata; Lepidosauria; Squamata; Agamidae. The record is from RefSeq and is a predicted model, not a curated record.
UUUGGCGAGAUUCCAAGCACCAUGAUGCUGCUGAGGAGCAAGGUCUAUUUCUGUCUGGCCUUGCUCCCAACACUCCUUAUUCCCCUGAUUGAUGGCUCUCCAACCAACGUGACCCAACUGCUUCGUGACUGUGCCUCUGCCUGCAUUAUUGACCUGUGGAACAAAAUGCCUCAGCCUGGGAAAAGGAGAUGUGGGAGGACCUGACCAAUGAGGAUUUGCAUCCCUAGGAGAGAGUAGGAUGAAAAUAGAGCAGUAUUGGGAGACUGCAAGGACUCAAAUGGGGAUAGAGCUGGCAUGGAAAUGAAGCCCUAAGCAGCAAUGAAAGACUGCAGUGAAGCA